RNAcentral lists this long non-coding RNA (258 nucleotides) under Theobroma cacao (cacao). RNAcentral describes it as "long non-coding RNA (TCAC_LNC003659)". The record is from RNAcentral. Lineage: Eukaryota; Viridiplantae; Streptophyta; Magnoliopsida; Malvales; Malvaceae.
UCUGAUCAAGGUGUCACUGAGUACUAUUUGAUGGCAUGAGCCAAAUGUUUAUGGAAAUCAUAAGCCUUAAUGAGAAAUUAAAUGAAAUACAACCGUUUGCAUGGGUUGGGAUGAAUUUUCAAAUUGUGAAAUACUUAAAAAUGAUGGGAUAUUUGAAUUGUCUCCUUUUACUCGACUUUAGCUGAUUUAAAUGAUGUUUGUUUACUCAUUGAGAUUUUAUAAUCUCACCACCCUCAUUUCCACCCAUUUCAAGCUCAG